UUGGGGAGUGGACGAGGAGGGCUUGCUCUUACGGGUGGCGAGUGGCGGACGGGUGAGGAAUGCAUCGGAAUCUACUCUGUCGUGGGGGAUAACGUAGGGAAACUUACGCUAAUACCGCAUACGACCUACGGGUGAAAGCAGGGGAUCUUCGGACCUUGCGCGAUUGAAUGAGCCGAUGCCCGAUUAGCUAGUUGGCGGGGUAAGAGCCCACCAAGGCGACGAUCGGUAGCUGGUCUGAGAGGAUGAUCAGCCACACUGGAACUGAGACACGGUCCAGACUCCUACGGGAGGCAGCAGUGGGGAAUAUUGGACAAUGGGCGCAAGCCUGAUCCAGCCAUACCGCGUGGGUGAAGAAGGCCUUCGGGUUGUAAAGCCCUUUUGUUGGGAAAGAAAAGCAGCCGGUUAAUACCCGGUUGUUCUGACGGUACCCAAAGAAUAAGCACCGGCUAACUUCGUGCCAGCAGCCGCGGUAAUACGAAGGGUGCAAGCGUUACUCGGAAUUACUGGGCGUAAAGCGUGCGUAGGUGGUUGUUUAAGUCUGUCGUGAAAGCCCUGGGCUCACCCUGGGAAUGGCGAUGGAAACUGGGCGACUAGAGUGUGGCAAAGGGAAGGGGAAUUCCUGGUGUACAAUGAAAUGCUAAAAAUCGGAAGGACAUCGUGGCAAAGGGACUGCCUGGGCCACCCUGACCCUGAGGCACAAAGGUGGGGAGAAAAAGGAAUAAAACCCUGGUGUUCACC
This 738-nucleotide ribosomal RNA is filed under the name Stenotrophomonas sp. HPC1320. RNAcentral describes it as "bacterial SSU rRNA". It matches the Rfam family "Bacterial small subunit ribosomal RNA", at positions 59 to 798 of the family's 1533-position model. Lineage: Bacteria; Pseudomonadati; Pseudomonadota; Gammaproteobacteria; Lysobacterales; Lysobacteraceae. The record is from RNAcentral.